AAAACAAGGUAUUCGCACGAUGAGAUAACACGCCUAUUUUCUUUCACUACCCUAAACCGGCAAAGCUCUGAUUAAGCCACCUGUACCCGAGGCUGGCGACUGAGCAGCAGAGAAACUGACCCGCGUCUCCAUGGCGACGCGUCAUAAAGCUGCAGUGCAGCCUGCUGGGCAAACUCAUGCUGGAACCGCAGCUCGGCUCAAGACUGUCUCUUCCGGGCAGGAUGCCGGUCGAGCCCAAGACUCCAUGCCCCUCUCAAUGUGACCGCAUGCUCCAACCAACAGGUGAUGCCAACUGGGAUUCCUAUGCUACCACAAUGAAGACGGCAUUCACAUAUAAAACAGGAGCAGUACCAGCUUUAAUUCGUCAAAAAAGUAUCAAAAGAUUAGGAUAUACAUACUCUCUUAGUGAUUCUACUCUUAAUCAGACCCAGUACAAUGAUGAAUAUAUUUGGAAAUCAUACUCUAAAGGAAAUUUGAUAAAAAAUGAGACUUCACGAGAAAUGAAGAGCUACAAAUCACAUCCCAAUCAAGGACUUCAAUGGACAUUACCUAAAGGGGAUUCAGUGAUGACACCAAGAAGCUGCCUCCCUUGGAAAAUUCCUGCUUCCAUGGAAGAAAUUCAGAAGGCAAUUGCAGAUCAGUUUAUUUCUUGUACUAAGAGAGACUUUCUGGACCACACCAAAGCUCAGGAGAUUAAGCAAAGUUCUCAGGUGUCCCUGGAAUGGAAAAAGUUCCUUCCCCGACCUCUAGACACUGAAUUUCGACAGAAUUAUCAAAUUCCAGCUAAAAUUCCAGAGUUGCAGGAUUUUAGUUUCAAAUAUGGAUGCUUCUCAAGACUGCCAAUUGCUUCUCAGGGUCUAGUCCCCUCCGUGCUGCACAGCUACAUGAGGAAUCAAGAACUCACGAAGCAGCAGACCAGAUACCAAAGUGACUACGGGAAAGCCUACCUGGACUUCUUAAUGAUCCUGAACUCAUUUACUCCCUCUCAAGUUAAUGAGUACCUUCAGAGUGUUUCCUACAAAGGAGCAUCAAUUACCAUCACCUGUGAUAGGAUUAACACACCAAGGAAGGGACGGUAGGAGGAGGAAGCUCCCCGGUACUCCAGUUACAGACCCUGGCACCCACAGUGGAAGAAACUGCUCCAAGGGACCAAGUGGACACAAUUCUAGGGGGUAAAAGAGUUCCUGGGAGGCUUUGCUGUAUGCUACCAUGAACUGGAAAGGAAGAAGAACAAGUUCUGCCUUGGGAAGGUUAGAAGCAUCUGAUGUUAACAGCAUCCUGAACCCAGCAGCAACCCUGAGAAACCUGGUGAUUAUUCGAGCUCACACUUGCCCUGCUGGGCAUCAGCCUUCGUUAGAUCAAAGGCUGUGUAACGAGGAACCCCCAGCCUGGCUGCUGCGGGCCUCCCUCACGCGCCAGAGGAUGCGCAGCCACUCAGUGGGCAUAGAGGACCUGGCAGCAGGGAGGACGCCACCGCACCACACAGACCUUGCACAGAGCCUGAGCCCAGGAAAGAUUGAACAUCAAGUGACCCUGGAAGAACUACAAAAUUUAAACGCACUAUUUCAGAAACAAAUGGUGAAUGCAUCAGAGAAAUGAACAAAAGAUAUGUUAGAAGUUGACAGAGUUUAGGAGCAUGAAAAGAGAGGAACACGACUGCUGGAUAUGGAAACAUUCAAAAGCAUAAUGAAGCAGAGUAUGAGGUCCCAGAAUAAAAAUAUCAAACAAAUAGAACAAUUUUUCAUGAAAAUAGACUAUGAAGCAGUGGGUAAAAUUCAGUGGAGUACUCGUUGACCCUCAGUACUUCUGUCAACUUGAAGCUGAAUGAAGAGAACGUGCUUGUUUGCAAUUUUCAAAUUUAUGUAAUGGUAACCCAUAGUUGGAGUAGUUUAACUAGGUAUUUCAGUAACUAAGGCAAGUUACAUGAAAGAAAUUCUUAAACCAAGAAUGGAGGGCCAUAUCCACCACUUUACUGAAAAGCCAGGAAAGUACUGCAGGCAAUGAUACAUGGUGAUAAUGAAAUCAGUGAACACAUGUAAAGUGUUUAGAACUGGGGUUGUCACACAAUAAAUUCUCAGCAAGUAUUAUUAUGAUUCCUGUUAAUAUUAUCCAAUUUUGGUUAUGUAAUAACAAAGAGCUGAGAUACCUGUUUUUUUGAUUCUUGGCCAUCAUGUCUGUCAGUGUCCUUCCAUUGUUCUGGGAUGAAUUAAGUUCAAAAGUGACAAAUUGAGCAGUAAGUCAUCUGUAUUCAGGCCUUUGGCCAAUUCUACAGUGCCCUCACUGUCAUAUGAUUUGAAAAGGAAUAUUCAAGAUUCCAGGGCAGAGAAGGGAAGCUUCUAGUGAAAGAGGAUUUUGGAAGAGGUGGACAGAAAAUGAAGAUUUCCCAGGUCCAAAGAGACUCCACCCUUUCUAUUUUUGAUCACAAAGUUCCUUCCCAUUAGUAUACUGCUAAGAUUCAAAAAAAGGCAUAUGCCCUGCUGUGUGGGAACUUCAGAAUCAGAUCAAUGACAACACAAGUCUCUGGCUGGCCAUUGGCUAGUUGUUCCAUCUUAGGCAAGCCAUUUAACUUCUCUUCAAGCUUGAGUUUCCCAGUUCAUAAAAUGGGGUGAGCGAUGGACCUUAACCCCUUUAGGAAUGAUGAGAAUUGAAGUGAAGACCCACACUACAUGGAACAUGGUACACUCUAACAGUCAUUAUCAUCACCGCCAUUGUCAUCAUCAUCAUCAUCAUCAUCAUCAUCAUCAUCAUCAUCAACAACAACAACAACAACACCAUUAAAGAAAAAGGGAAAGCAGAAGAAGUAAGCUGGCAGCUGGGAAACAGACUUCAGGCCCAGCUGAGCAUGCUUACCACAGUUAUUACACGGUGGCUUCUGGACGUAUCUACAGCUAGAGUAUUUGAAGCAGGCCAAGGCUUUGGCCUGACAGAAAGAGGUGUCCUUCCUGCUGCCUGCUGUAGUGCCACAGAGGCUGUCACAUGGGGGUCUUGUGCUGCGCAUUCUCUCUGUGCCUGAUGACACCUUAAUCAUGAUCAGAGAAGAUGGAGCUAUUUAUUUCUGGUCCCUGCAGCUGAAGCUGAAAAGAAAAAAGUGGAUUUUUGUAUGUGAUUUUCAUUUGAUAAGGAUGCUGAGUGCUACAGUUUGAUUUUAUUUGCUAUUUUAAACUGCUCCUUAAGUGGCAUGAUUACAUAAAUUGUGCCCUUGAAUAUAAUAUAUUCAUGUUGCAUUUUGUUAGGCUACGGAAUGCAAAUAAAA
Non-coding RNA from Heterocephalus glaber (naked mole-rat), 3253 nucleotides. The record is from RefSeq and is a predicted model, not a curated record. Lineage: Eukaryota; Metazoa; Chordata; Mammalia; Rodentia; Bathyergidae.